RNAcentral lists this ribosomal RNA (467 nucleotides) under uncultured bacterium. RNAcentral's name for it is "partial 16S ribosomal RNA". It matches the Rfam family "Bacterial small subunit ribosomal RNA", at positions 28 to 507 of the family's 1533-position model. The record is from RNAcentral.
GACGAACGCUGGCGGCGUGCUUAACACAUGCGAGUCGAACGAUGACGACCGAGCUUGCUCGGUCUGAUUAGUGGCGAACGGGUGAGUAACACGUGAGCAACCUGCCCUUCACUCUGGGAUAACCUCGGGAAAUCGGGGCUAAUACCGGAUAUGAGCUCCUGUCGCAUGGCGGGUGUUGGAAAGUUUUUCGGUGAAGGAUGGGCUCGCGGCCUAUCAGUUUGUUGGUGAGGUGGUGGCUCACCAAGGCGAUGACGGGUAGCCGGCCUGAGAGGGCGACCGGCCACACUGGGACUGAGACACGGCCCAGACUCCUACGGGAGGCAGCAGUGGGGAAUAUUGCACAAUGGGCGAAAGCCUGAUGCAGCGACGCCGCGUGAGGGAUGACGGCCUUCGGGUUGUAAACCUCUUUCAGCAGGGAAGAAGCGAAAGUGACGGUACCUGCAGAAGAAGCGCCGGCUAACUACGUG